AACGCGAAGAACCUUACCUGGGCUCGAACGGCUAGUCAACGAUCGUGGAAACACGGUUACUCCGCAAGGGGGUCUAGUCGAGGUGCUGCAUGGCUGUCGUCAGCUCGUGUCGUGAGAUGUUGGGUUAAGUCCCGCAACGAGCGCAACCCUUGUCCUGUGUUGCCAUCAUUUAGUUGGGAACUCGCAGGAGACCGCCAGCGAUAAGCUGGAGGAAGGUGGGGAUGACGUCAAGUCCUCAUGGCCUUUAUGUCCAGGGCUACACACGUGCUACAAUGGCCGGUACAAUGCGCUGCUAAGUCGCAAGACGGAGCCAAUCGCAAAAAACCGGUCUCAGUUCGGAUUGCAGGCUGCAACUCGCCUGCAUGAAGCUGGAAUCGCUAGUAAUGGCAUAUCAGAACGAUGCCGUGAAUACGUUCCCGGGCCUUGUA
This 428-nucleotide ribosomal RNA is filed under the name uncultured Acidobacterium sp. Its description in RNAcentral is "bacterial SSU rRNA". It matches the Rfam family "Bacterial small subunit ribosomal RNA", at positions 958 to 1385 of the family's 1533-position model. The record is from RNAcentral. Lineage: Bacteria; Pseudomonadati; Acidobacteriota; Terriglobia; Terriglobales; Acidobacteriaceae.